Oncorhynchus gorbuscha (pink salmon) is the source of this 5353-nucleotide long non-coding RNA. RefSeq lists it as uncharacterized. NCBI's taxonomy places the organism in Eukaryota, Metazoa, Chordata, Actinopteri, Salmoniformes, Salmonidae. The record is from RefSeq and is a predicted model, not a curated record. The transcript has 5 exons.
GUCAUGUGAAUUUCCUUUUUCACCUUCAGACCAAUGCCUAUUCUCACUUAACAUUUUUUGUUUUUAAUUUUUACACGAAGGUGAUUAUGCAACAUUAUUAUACACCUUAGCACGUGCUCUCCUUAUGAACCUUCACAAUGUUGUGCGUUUUUAAUUUGGAGUAUUGAUAAGAUCCCAGCUCCUAAUCAAAUUGUCAAGGGCAAAGAAACAGACAGAAGCAAAUAUUUACUAUGCGAUUACACAAUGUGGCUUUUGCUAGAGGACUGCAGGAGUGCAGAAUAUGGAUGAGCUGUUCUCAAUGGAAGGGCUCUGAAAUAUUCUCUCUGGAAACGACUUGGGGCACACAAAGGGGACAGCCCUGGUGCGUCAGAUGCCAGCUGAUUUUGAAGGUAGUCCAUCCGAAUGUUCCCUGCGACAAUGGUGGUCUACUCUGACAUCACACAGUGGAGGAGUUGAAUGUUCCGGUGGGAGAAGGACAUCAAGUGCAUAGAGCUGGCCCCGGCGCUCUGUCAACCAGCUGGUGUUUGCGUUUCUCUGUGACAGGCGCAUGCCCACAAUCCGCCACUUUGCCAUAAAUCACUGUGUCCCUGGGCAGUAUUGUAGGGAAGGGUUUCCCAAACUCGUUUCUAGGGGCCUGUCAUGCCAAAUAGUGUCCACCGGCCAAAUAGUGUCUCCCUCUGCUAGCAGGCUACUGUAACGGUUAUUGCAGCUUUCUGUUUGUAUGUAGCUUGCACUUCAAUGGCAUCCCUCGAGGAGAUAUUUUACCUUUCCGACCAGGCGAAGUGUUCUGAAGACACCACUGAUCUCGACAAGAGGCGCAACAUUCAGAGAAAAUCACAAUUCGGGGUAAUCAUAUCUACCUACGGGGGAAGGAUGGUCAGCCACACAGGAGGGUGAUUUUUGUUAAGGAGGAGGAGGAGGCCGUGCUGACUGUGAUGCUUGCUGGCCAAUUCGGAGUGAAGCGCCUGAUUGCCAAAAUCAACCUACGCUUCUUCUGACAGGGAAUUGUCAAGGAGGUGGACAGCUGGGCAAGUGAAAUAACCUUUUGUUUAUCAAUCACAUUCUGUUAUAUGUGGAAAUUAUUAUGGUUACAAUGAAUGUCAUAUCAGAGAGCACGCAAUGUUUCAAUUUGUCACUUUUUGCUUAAAGGUCAGUACCUGUCCAGCCUUCCAGAAGUUUGAGAGGGCGAAGAGUGUGGCGCCGGAGUUGAAGUUGUUUUACCAUGGCACAUGAUCGGGAUGGACCUCAUCGGCUCCUUCAUGAAAUCCAGGAAAGGCAACAGCUGGUGUCUGACGGCGACCGAUCACUUUACCAAGUAGAUGGAGGCAAUACCCAUUAAGAUCAGUAAAGGAAGAGAACGUCCUUAACUCUAAAUACCCAUCUGCAACCCAUUAAAAAGGGUGCUUGGAACCAAAAAUAGAUUUUUGUUUUUUUAUGACACAAAACUAGUGAGAGCACCUCCAAGGAUAUGGUGGGCAUCUUCAACACCCACUAUUCUCCUGAGGUCAUCUUGAGUGACCGAGGUCAGGUACGGAUGUUAAAGGUUAUAUUCUGUCACCAAUGCUUUGUUUUGUUUAUUUUGUUACAAUCUGUUUUUGUUUUUCCAUGGUAGAUAAUCAGACAUAUUUCAAUAUCUUACAUUGUCAAUAGAUAUCACUUUCCUACCCCCCUCCUCCAGGUUUGGUGAAUGGACCAACCAGGCCAUUGUGAUUGACUUAGUGUUGUUUGUCUAUUGCUAUUUUUGCUUAACGGUCUUUCAGAUCACUGAAACCCCACCUGAUGUGGUGGAAGUUGUCGAAACCAGAUCAAGACGCCUUCGAGAAUUACCUUCAGGCAGGGACUGAGAGGGAUGUGGAGGUCUUUGACCAUAUACAAAUUAUUGUCCGUUGUUUGUUUGUUUUCUGGACCUCCAAGAGAUAUGUAAGAAAUGUAUUUGUAAUGUGAAAUAUAAUUGCAUGUCAUUCGUGUCAUCCAACAAGGUGAGACUGAACAUGGACAAGGCGCAGGAGAAACAGAAGGAGCGCUACCGGAGCAAAGUCAAGAAGGGGACCAAGUGCUACGACAUCCGGGCAAAUGACUUGGUUUGGAAGAAGAACGAAAGGAAGGCAGAGACCUUGAAACCUCGCUGCUCCUAGCUGUGGUCACGAUCUGUUAAAGGUUACCUAGGGUUACCUAGGAAGCCAACUAUCUUCUGCAGUUGGACGGUCUACUACUGGAAGCAUUGACGCCCUACACUUCAGUGAAGCCCAAUUUACAAAGACCAUCGACUGUCCAAGCCCCCCAGGAGGUAUCCCAUCUACCAGAACCGGUGAGUUCGGAUCAGUCUGAUUCUCUGUGCUCUGAGUCGGAGGGGGACUAGCUUGAGGUAGGCUACACCUUCCAAAAGUGUUGAAAAGUACAUAUCUCUGUUAAUCCAUCAAAUUUUCUCACAGUAAAGUGUAACCUGUGUGUUUGCUUGUUUAUGUCGGUCUCCUACCAUGUCCCCUUCAACUCUGCUCCUGUUCUCCAAGAGCUAGGGGUUUUGGCCAACACCCAGAUCCACCUGAUGUCCUCCAUUAACAACCAUUCUUUUCAUUACCUCAUCUACAGCUACUGUUGUCAUUACGCCAUCUACAGCUACGGUUAUCAUUAUCUGCUAAGAAAGCUAUCUUGCGCUAUCAUACUGGGCACAUAAUAUGUGAGAGACACAGAUUAACUAAAAACAUUAGCACUGAAAAUCCUCUGAACAAAGCGAACAGCAGUGCCUGGACUUCGCAGUCUCCUUCUUCAACUCCCCCCUUCUGAGACUGGGUGCCUGUUGAGAACAAGUGACAGGCAGAAUCUCCCACCCACACAGCAACCACCUCCUAUAUUCCACACACCAGAAUUAUGUAUUUAGUCCAUGAUUGCCAUGUGAAAAUAAAUUAAUGACACAACUGUACCAAACAAUAUCAACGUUUCUGUGUUACAUUCUUAAAUAUUGACGGGUUAGUUUUCACAACAUGUUCAUUGCUGUAAGGUGUCCUUUGAUGGUAUUUAUUUGUUCCUCAUUAUUAAUUGAAUGUAGUCAAUCCUGCCGUAGAGAUAGCGUGCAUCUCACAGGUGAGGGCAACGACCUCUUCCUUGAGUCUGAGAGCUGAUCCCUCUUUUGUUCUAGCAAGAUCUGUGCUCUUGGGGUAAUUCUCAAAAUGGAUUUUACAUUUUUUUUUUAAGGAAGUGUCAGGGAACAUUAUUUUUUACAUGUAUCUAACCUUUGUGUAGUGACAGUCUCCAUAUAUACUGUACUUCCAUAAAUGUUUUAUACUGGUAUCAGGGGACUUUAUGUAUUAACCUAUCAAGAUCAAAUAUUGUAGUUGGGCAACAUAUGCGAUGUGAAUAUAAAACAUUUCAUUCUGAAGUCGGGAGUGUACUUUCUCUUGAUUCAGCUCAAAUAACGGCCGCCAUUGAUUUAAAGAAAUGUUAUGACAUUUUUUUACGUGGUUGCGUCAUAUUUCUUUGCAUACUUUCCAUUGAAGCUUGCAUCAAUGCAUGCUUCAAAAUAUGUACAAACGGAGUUUGCAUUUUGAGAAGUGCCCUCCAUGCUCCAUUUCGCAUGCUUUCAUUUGGAAUCGUACUCCGAUCCUCCCGUGCUCCAAUUUUCGUUGUAUGCAGUUUGAGAAUUAGCCAUCGACUUUGACAGAGCAUUUAAAUUUCUUGAAUCCUUCCUUCCAAAAUGAUUUUGUUCAUUUACUCAAUAGUGAUUUUACGUUUAUUUAUCUUGCUUGGUUAAAAUACAAUACUCUAAAACAGUCAAUUUGUUGAAAACAGACUUCUUUAAUCACGUUAAAACCCAUUUCCUUUUCUUUUGACUGUGUGCUACUACAGGCGGCAACCUGAUCUCAGAGCAUUUCGUAUUAUUCUGUAUGGAUAUUUUUAUGUGCAAGUAUUAAUUUGUGGAUGUCCAUCAUCCAUUUCACAUAAUAUGUUAUGAGUUACAAUUCAUAUGGUAUGUUACGAAUUGCAGUUGUAUGAUAUGUUAUGAAUUUCAAUUGUAAAUUAUGAAUGCAAUAUGUAGGAUAUGUUGCCAAUUCCAAUUUGUUGUAACUAACGUUAGCUAGGUGUCUAAUGCUAAUGUUAGCUGGGCUAGCGGUUACGGUUAGGAGUGAGGUGAAAGGGUUAAGGUUAGGAGUUAUGUUCAAGGUUAGCGUUAGGGGAAGGGUUAGCUAACAUGCUAAGUAGUUGCAAAGUAGCUAAAAAGUAGUAAGUAGAUGCAAAGCUGGUAAUUGGACUAAAUGCUAGUUGUCCAUGAGAUUUGAACACUCAAUUUUUGGGUUGCUAGACAUUUGCUUAUACGACUAACCAACCUCAUUUUAGCAUGAAAGGAGAAUUUUCCUCUUUCUGAUGUCAAUCUAAAUGUUUUAUGUAAAUUAAAUGUUAUAGUCGGUUCCAGACACCUUUUCUGUGAUUUGCCUUGUUUUUGAUAAACAUACCCCAGCUUCGAUUCACUUUCUCAUUGCUCUUUGUACAGCAUCAGGGCAUGCAAAAGACAUGAUUAAACUCCAAAAACACCUAAACACAUCCUUUUAGUAAUGGACAUGCUCUCUGUAUAGUGAAGUCUAGGUUACGCCCUGAUACUACACAACAAGCAAUGAGGAAGUGAAUUGCAGCCGGGGUAAGUUUAUCAAGAACAAGCCAAAUCACAUACAAAGUGUCUGGACCCUUCUAUAAUGUGCCAUUUACAUCAAAAAUAGAGAUUUACUUUAGAAAUAGGAAAAUUAUCCAGUAACCUUCUGUCUUAUGUAACCAUACUAAACGUAACAUAUCAUACUAAUUUCAGUGUCCCGGAUUAUAUUUUAGUAUGUUACGUCUAUAAGAGCAGGUUGGCGCAAGGAAUGUGGCGAACUUUGUUUUACCCUGGUUCACAAUGUGCAGCCUUUUCCCUGACUAUUUUUUCACUAUUGCAUGGCAACUUCAAAUAUUCUGUGAACACACUGAAAAGUAACUUGUAACUGUUGAUCAGUCAGCACACCUUUAGGAUUAUAAGAAUGACAAGACAGCAGGAGAAAGAGCUUAUGCAGGAGCUGGAAUUUAUUCUACACAUGUUUGAAACAGUAACACAUUCGGUCGAGUCUGGUAACUUGAAGUGAGCAUGCACAACUGAGGUUCUGUUUCUAUGUGUGUUUGGGGUUCAACCAUUUCCUGUAUGCAUACCUAGAUUACUUAUCAAAAUGAUUUUUUUUUUUAGGCUAUGGUUUCUCAUGGCUGUUCUUCGAGGAAAUAUAGCGUAGCUAGCUAACUGCAGUGUUUGUUGUGUCUGAAAUCUGGCUACCUCCUUUUAUUGUAGCUGUAGCUUGGUUUGUACAAUGCAAAUAAAUGUGAGUUGCGUGGCAGUUUC